This 468-nucleotide ribosomal RNA is filed under the name uncultured bacterium. Its description in RNAcentral is "partial 16S ribosomal RNA". It matches the Rfam family "Bacterial small subunit ribosomal RNA", at positions 28 to 507 of the family's 1533-position model. The record is from RNAcentral.
GACGAACGCUGGCGGCGUGCUUAACACAUGCAAGUCGAACGGAAAGGCCCUGCUUUUGUGGGGUGCUCGAGUGGCGAACGGGUGAGUAACACGUGAGUAACCUGCCCUUGACUUUGGGAUAGCUUCAGGAAACUGGGGCUAAUACCGGAUAGGAGCUCCUGCUGCAUGGUGGGGGUUGGAAAGUUUCGGUGGUUGGGGAUGGACUCGCGGCUUAUCAGCUUGUUGGUGGGGUAGUGGCUUACCGAGGCUUUGACGGGUAGCCGGCCUGAGAGGGUGACCGGCCACAUUGGGACUGAGAUACGGCCCAGACUCCUACGGGAGGCAGCAGUGGGGAAUAUUGCACAAUGGGCGGAAGCCUGAUGCAGCAACGCCGCGUGCGGGAUGACGGCCUUCGGGUUGUAAACCGCUUUCGCCUGUGACGAAGCGUGAGUGACGGUAAUGGGUAAAGAAGCACCGGCUAACUACGUG